RNAcentral lists this ribosomal RNA (307 nucleotides) under uncultured eukaryote. Its description in RNAcentral is "partial 18S ribosomal RNA". It matches the Rfam family "Eukaryotic small subunit ribosomal RNA", at positions 1470 to 1796 of the family's 1831-position model. The record is from RNAcentral.
CCCUUAGACGUUCUGGGCCGCACGCGCGCUACACUGACGAAGGCAACGAGCUUUCCUUUACCGAAAGGUACGGGUAAUCUUUUGAAACUUCGUCGUGCUGGGGAUAGAUCCUUGCAAUUUUUGAUCUUAAACGAGGAAUGCCUAGUAAGCGCAAGUCAUCAACUUGCGUUGAUUACGUCCCUGCCCUUUGUACACACCGCCCGUCGCUACCACCGAUUGAAUGGUUUAGUGAGGCCUUCGGAUCCGCGACUCGUUUGUGGAGAAGUUGGACAAACUCAGUCAUUUAGAGGAAGUAAAAGUCGUAACA